GAUGAACGCUGGCGGCGGGCCUAAUACAUGCGAGUCGAGCGAACAUACGAGUACCUUGCUCCUCGAACGUUAGCGGCGGACGGGUGACUAACACGUGCAUCACCUACCUAUAAGACUGGGAUACCUUCGGGAAACCGAAGCUAAUUCCGAAUAAUAUAUGCAUCACCUUGGUUCAAUAGUUAAAGACGGUUUUGCUGUCACUUCUCGAGAUUUCCGCGCCGCAUUAGCUAGUUGUUAAGGUAACGGCUUACCAAGGCGACGAUGCGUAGCCGACCUGAGAGGGGGAUCGGCCACACUGGAACUGAGACACGGUCCAGACUCCUACGGGAGGCAGCAGUAGGGAAUCUUCCGCAAUGGGCGAAAGCCUGACGGAGCAACGCCGCGUGAGUGAUGAAGGUCUUCGGAUCGUAAAACUCUGUUAUUAGGGAAGAACAAAUGUGUAAGUAACUAUGCACGUCUUGACGGUACCUAAUCAGAAAGCUACGGCUAACUACGUG
Molecule: ribosomal RNA, 497 nt
Filed under: uncultured bacterium
Lineage: Bacteria
Description: partial 16S ribosomal RNA
Rfam family: Bacterial small subunit ribosomal RNA
Source: RNAcentral